Molecule: ribosomal RNA, 459 nt
Filed under: uncultured bacterium
Lineage: Bacteria
Description: partial 16S ribosomal RNA
Rfam family: Bacterial small subunit ribosomal RNA
Source: RNAcentral
CCUACGGGAGGCAGCAGUGAGGAAUAUUGGUCAAUGGACGCAAGUCUGAACCAGCCAUGCCGCGUGCAGGAUGACGGCUCUAUGAGUUGUAAACUGCUUUUGUACGAGGGUAAACCCCGAUUCGUGUAUCGGGUUGAAAGUAUCGUACGAAUGAGGAUCGGCUAACUCCUUCCCAGCAGCCGCGGUAAUACGGAGGAUGCGAGCGUUAUCCGGUUUUUUUGGGUUUAAAGGGUGCGUAGGCGGAAUGCCAAGUCAGCGGUAAAAUCGCGGGGCUCAACCUCGCUCCGCAGUUGAUACUGGCGUUCUUGAGUGGGCGAGAGGUAUGCGGAAUGCGUGGUGUAGCGGUGAAAUGCAUAGAUAUCAGGCAGAACUCCGAUUGCGAAGGCAGCAUACCGGCGCCCAACUGACGCUGAAGAACGAAAGCGUGGGUAUCGAACAGGAUUAGAUACCCGAGUAGUC